Small nucleolar RNA from Crotalus tigris (Tiger rattlesnake), 90 nucleotides. RefSeq annotates it as small nucleolar SNORD12/SNORD106. The transcript has a single exon. Lineage: Eukaryota; Metazoa; Chordata; Lepidosauria; Squamata; Viperidae. The record is from RefSeq and is a predicted model, not a curated record.
GCUGAUGUGUAUGAUGACUAAAGCUUUUUUCCCCAUCAGAGCGAUACUGUUGAUCUUACUGUAUUAGCCAGUCUUGUCUGAUACAUCAGC